Non-coding RNA from Oryctolagus cuniculus (rabbit), 1999 nucleotides. The record is from RefSeq and is a predicted model, not a curated record. Lineage: Eukaryota; Metazoa; Chordata; Mammalia; Lagomorpha; Leporidae.
GGCCAGGGCCAAGGGGGGGCCUGGGCUCUGGACUGGGGGGAGCCUGGCUCUGGACUGGGGGGGCUGGCUCUGAGCUGGGGGCGCGCCCGUGGGGCAUGUGCAGGGUGAGGCCGGUUUUCUCCCUUCUUUUGAAAGUUGGGGGGAGGGAGAAUGGGGAGGAGACGGGGCAGGAUUCCCACUGCUGGUGUACCCUCACAUGCCAACAGCGCGGCGGGGCCAGGAGCCGGGCGCCCCAUCCGGGCCUCCCGCGGGGGCGGCAGGGCCCACUCUGCCGUGCAGGUGCAGGAAGCUGGAGGCAGAGGCGGACUCCAGCCGGGCACCCAACAGCCGUCCCGGGGCCAUUCUGAACCUCCGAGAAAGGGCCACAGGGCCUGUGCCCGCGGGCGCCGGGCAGGGGACGCGGAAACUGCGGGUGGCAGAGCCCCCCACGACCCGCCCCCUCCCUUCCGGCCGCGCGGGCACCGGGAGCCAGAGCCGUCCCGAGGAAGAAGGCGGCAGGCCCGGGCGUCCCGACAGCGCGGGGCCAUCCGCGGUGGGAGCCACGUGGGCACGGCCCCCUCCCUCGCGCGGACCCAGGAAACGGUUCCGCAGGGCGCGGGACGCACAAGCCAGCAAAGGAACGGCCCGGCGGGCUUCCUGACGAUCAAGCCUCCCUGCGGCUCCAUCCCGAGGGCGCCGAGGGGAGCGGCUCCCGGACCCCUGGGCCUUCCGGCUCCGCGAUCAGAAGGCGGCCCCCGCACUGCGGACCCGCCACCAGGCCGCACGCCUGAGUGGAGCGGGGUCUCACGGGCUCAGCCUGGCCGCGGCGGGCAUCUGGGGAGCGAGCCAGAGGAGGGAGCGCUCUCUGCCGCUCAAGUAAGAGUCCGAAGCUCAGCAUACAAUGGACGCCAGCCACCCACGCGGCCUCUCUGGUGAGGGGAACGUUAAUAGUGAAGAUUCAGUCACAAAGAAUGCGGGUGACAACCUUCCCCAGACAGCCCGCCCUGGUCUAACUUAUUUCGCGGUGCGCGAUGGUCCUGGGAUGCCCCCUGGGGCCUGCCCCUGCUGGCCAGGUUCUGGGACGUUUUUUGGUUACGAUGGGAUUGGGGGGUGGGUGCUCCCAGGUUCCGGGGAGCGCGGGAUCUGGACCCCAGCAGCGCUCGCUCACCCACACCCCGCCGCGGGGCCUCUUUCUUGGGCUCAGAGAACGUCACCCCGCCCCGCAGAGGGGGAACCCAAGCCAGUAACAGGUGCAGGACGGCCAAGGCCGGAAAUGAAGCAAUGACCGGGCAGCUCCCCCAGCUCAGUUCGUUUACGUCACAGCGUGCCAUCCCUGACCCGGCCGCUCCCUGGGACGCAGAGGCGGGGCUUUGCCCGUCCCACCCUGCCGGGCCACAGACAAGGCUUGGAGGAACGGCCGGCCACGCUCAGUGAGGCUGGGAGCAGCGGGGCGUCGGCUCCGCACCCUGGGGCUCCCCGCUCCCGACUCGCUGCACAGAGCUCGGGACAGGGACCCGGCUCCCAGCCCUGCAGCAGGUGCUCCCCCGGCAGAGGCCUGGCGCCCCGACACGUGAGGACAGGCACGCGUGCACACUCUGCUGGUGUAAAAGCGCCCACCCCCACCCGCGGGCCCACCCCCCUCCAGAUCCGCGGCUCCUGGAGUGGAAGCCGCCCACCAAGGGGACGCCCGUGAACCCACACGACAGGCGCCAGGGGUUAAAUGAGCCUUUAUUAGAAUGUUGUAGCAGGUGUUGGAAGAAGGCGGCCCUACAAAAUGAGGGUUUUAAAUUAAAGUCCCUAACUGCGUCCUUAGGGAAACCGGGGCUGGAACUGACCAGGGACCACGGCCCCGCCCUCCAGUGCCGAGGGGCCCCGCCCGCGGCGCACAGACGGCGGCGUCCGCCUCUCCUUUCGGAACUGAUUUGUAGCGAGUCGGAGGAAGGAACAGAAAGAAAAAUAAAACUAAAAGCAGACCUGAUCCUUAAAAAAAAAAAAAAAAAAAAAAAACGAAAACAGAAAA